GGAAAGGAAGCUAGAUAUUCUAGGUUCCUUUAUUGCACAUUCUGUUUAAUCUAAAAAUGUCAUCUCCUGUUUGCCUGCUAGACCCUGUAGAAGCCUACUGUGUUUGAUCAAAUGUAAAUUUACAGAGCAUUAAAUAAAAACCUCUAAAGUAAGUUAACAACUGAUUGAAAAAUAAAUCCAUUCCCCCUAACUCCCCAUGCAUUCUGUGUGUGUCGCAGCCAGGUAAGGUGUGGUAGGGCUACAUAAACAAGUGAUUUAAAUUCUAAAUGACAGAGAAAUUAGCAGUUUAGCAGACUAUUGCAGUAGUUUUGAUGUCUAUAAUAUCUCUUUAAAGAUUGCUCCACAACACACAAUCGUACAGUUUAUCAACAAUAAACAUGCCUACUCAAUUCACUUAGGAAUAACUGGAGCUCUGUAUGUUGUCCAACAUAUAUGUGGUGGUCUGGCUGUGUGCCAACAAACUCAGGGUUUUUCACAAAACUCAAAUGGAUAUAAUUUUACAGAGACAGAAUAUUACAUAUGUUGUUUCUCCUAUAGUCCAUACCAGCAGAACCGCUUUCUUAUAACUACAUUUGUAUUUACCUAAAUUUCAUCUCCUCUUCUCUCUCUCUUUUUUUUAAAUACCACUUUGUUUUACUAUUGUUUCUUACCCUUAUUUAACCAUUCUCCUCUUUUCUACUCAGGUACGUAAGAUCGCUGCUGAAUACUACGACAAUCUCCCAUACCAUACAUCGUGGGGACGAGUACUCUGGGAUUUCAUAUUCUGCAAAGAAUUGGGACCAUUCUCUCGUGUUAAGAGAGAGUGUGAACUUGCAAAAAAGGACUAAAAAUAAACUGAAAAAAAUUAUUUAUUUCACUCUCGCGUGUAUAGAUAAUGAUAAUUUAGGAAACUAUAUUAACUGUAUACACUCUUUUUUUUUUAAAAAAAUUGGCAUUCAUUUUUAAUAGUUCAAGCAUUUAAAAGGCAGAAUUAUUAAACAUAUUAAACCCCAUAAUGCACAAUUGGCCCUAACAAGCAAUUGCCCAUGAACAGUCUAUUCAGUUGCCUCAUUAUUGGGCCGUUUCCCCCUGCCUGCAUAUUGGCUCAGGACAAGCUGCGUUUAGGCUAACAAAGGUUACUUGGAAAUUUCUACCAAGAUCGCCUUAUAUAUUUUUUUUCAUCCACUGCUUUAAAAGUAUUUUCCCGAAUUGUAUAAAAUUCUUCUGUAAAGGUAUCCACUUAACACUGUUAAAAUGAAGUGCCAAUGUAUCAGUCUGUGGCUUAUGGCCACCUUACAAUUAAUAUACAUAAAAAUGUUCAAUAUCCUUAUGGGUUAUCCGACAACCUAAUAGAACAAUUGUCCUAGUAAAAAUGCACUAUGAUUAUUUAGUAUAAAGGAAUGACCAAGAAGGGGUAAAAAAUCUCUAUAUGUGCAUGUAAACUGUACACAUCAGUGAUUGUUUACCUUGACACUGCAGAUAUUUCUGAACGACAUACCCAUGACAAUCAGCUAGCCUUUAGGCAAAUAAAUAUCCUUAGUGCCUAGGUAAGCAAUUACUGCUGUAACUUUUUCACAUUUGUAUCAGUACUUUAUUUGUGGAGUACGGUAUUUUGCUGCUUUGUAUCUUAAUAUGUUCCACCGAUUAUACCACUUCUUCAUGGCAUUGUUUUAUCUAUGAUCUGUCACGGGGAAGCCUUGCAGGCCAUGGUAACAACUUCUCUGAGCAUCAAAUGGAUUAAUGAAGAAUGUUUUUUACGUUUUUCUUUUGAUCUGGUGCUCACUAUUGUCAGUCUACAUCCUAUCCAUUAGUACUUUUUGUUCUUCUUUCUACUCUGUGAAUUCAUAGCUUCUUAAUCUCUGAUAGAUCUUCUGCAUUCUGAAUUACCACUAAGUGACUUUACUAAUAUGGGCUCCUCCAGAGAUUUCUCUAAGAGCUUGUACAGCAAUCACGCACACUGCUCAGGUAUCAUAAUUUAUUAAGCUGGUUGACAAUUUUCAUAGAAUCUACCUAGCUGUUGUUCUUUAUUUCAUGAAUAGUUAUAAUAUUUUUCUUGGAUAAAAAUACUCGUGCACUGUACAGCUGGGGUUUUUUAAAACACCAUCUAUACAAUAUAUUAUGAUUCUUUCCAAUAAUGUGUUUUUUACUCUACCCUAAAAUGAAGUGAUUGAGGAAAAAAUAUUUUUGAUUUUGUUAGUAGGGUAAAAAUGAAUUCCCUAUAAAUGCUACCUUAAAUACAAAGGGUGUAUCUAAUAAAUAGUACGUUGUGAAGCAAUGACAAAUGAAGAUCAAAAUAAAUCUGAGUUGGAAAAUAAGUCAUUUAGCAGCUCACCAAAACUCACUGUUUAUUGAACGCCCUUAUAACACUUGAAAGUAACUACACCUUGUAAUGACGUGACUUAACACUGAAUGCAUUGUAGUAUUUGCAAUAUUGAAAUACUAGUCAUUUAAUUUUUAUAUGCAACAAUAAUUAUGUGAGUUUCAAACCAAAUUACAGUAAAAGAUGCAUACCAUUACACAUAUAUAAAAUAUUAUACAUGGGAACUGUAUGCUUCGCUUUCACUAAGAGAUCUUAAAAAAUGACUUUCUGAAUCAAAACAUUGCUUUGACAUCCGUACACUUUUUGAUUAGUAUAUUGGCUGCACCAGACCAUUUAUCUACGGUCUCCUAAUUACAUGAAUGAGAUCUGAUCUUAGUGCACUAAUUAUGAAACUGUCUCCCAACAAAUUUAAGUGACUUACCGAUCUAUAUUGAGUGAAUACAUUACAUUAAUAAUGCCGAAUUCUGGGUGACUUAUGCAUCAUCCCAGGGCAGUGCAAAUUUUGAGGCACUGCCGGGGAGUUAUAAAGGAUUCAGAAAAUGUGGUGGUGGCAGGCCAAUGAUUAGGGCAAAAUGGCAAGUAGGUUCAGCGUAGGCUUGUUUUGUAGUGCUAGGGCAGGGAGAUAAAAUUAUUUGUGGUCCUGGGGACCAGUGAUGGAAUGUAUUGUUCCUUCCCUUAUAGGCAGAAUAUAAGCUAUUUCAAACUCUUUCUACUUAGAUUUUGCUCUGAAGGUGUUUGGGAGUUGGAAAAACACAAGUCAGUAAUUUGAUAACUUACCUCGGGAGGCCACUAGGCGGGAUUGGAGAUCGGUGUUGCAGGAUGCUCUACUUUUUAAGUGACUUCACAUGUGUGGGCUUAAACGUGUAUGAAUUAUGUAUGUUUUUAAGUUAUAGUUUUCAGUAUAAUGUAUAUGGCUAUGUGUGUGGAAAGGUAUUUCUAAGACUUGUUUAAGGAUUUCAUCAUGUUUAUGCAAAAUUGAUUCCACAUGACAAAGAAGAUAUAUAAAAAUGAAGAUAUAUAACAUUUAAACAAAGCCUUACAUUGUGUAAUGUAAUAUAAAGAAUCUGGUUUGCAAAAUUAUUUGUGUUUACAACUUUUAUUAUUGGAAUAAAGUUUUCUAUAUGUUUAUAAUUA
RNAcentral lists this long non-coding RNA (3433 nucleotides) under Pelobates cultripes (western spadefoot toad). Lineage: Eukaryota; Metazoa; Chordata; Amphibia; Anura; Pelobatidae. The record is from RNAcentral.